CUGAAAGCCUGAAACCGGUGGACCCAAAGAGUCUUCGCCCCGCCUCGCGGGAGCCAUGGCCAGGCGCUCGGCCGCCGCUCGCCUGGAUCCUUCCGAUACCUCUUACCAUAAAGAGCAAGACCGGUCUGUGUACUUUGGUUGAUCCUGACAUGGACCAACUGGAGGGUGCUCCCCCUGGCCAUGAGCCGAUCCACCGCCCAUUUUGCCGCUUGCUGGCUGUUCUUGUCCCGGUCGACGGCCACGAUGGUCGAGAUGUCCUUCCCGGCCUCGGGCUCCCCGCUGUGCGACGCUGUGGAGAAUGCCGAGAGGUACAUUUCUCAGCUCUCCGACCAACCAACGAAGCGAGCGAGCGACCGACGGGAGGGAGAGAGAGACAAAAGGGGAAUUUUGUCCCUCCUCCCCCUUUGCUUAUCUCUCCUACCCUGCCUGGCCGGGGUCUCCUCGUCCCUUGCUGUCGCGACCGAACCCGGCCGAAACCGCGAUGUUGUUUUAGGGAGCUUGUGUUUGUUUUUUGCCAAGUUUGGACGCAGUGUGGUCGUGAGGAUUUUCUUAAUUUUCUGUGGCUCCUGUUUCCCCGCUUCUUAAGCAAGGGGUGUAGGCGGGAGGACACAUGUUCAAUGCCACCUUUCUGCUUGUUUCUAAGAAUAGCGGCAGGUGACAGACAGGGGUGUCGCCAGGCGCUAGCUGAGUUUCCUUUAAAGGCCUCCUUUGGUUUAGCUGAGUUUCCUUUAAAGGCCUCCUUUGGUUUGGUUUAUAGUGUAGAAAAAUUAUAGGAAUAGAAAAGUCAUUGAAAAUAAGAUGACAUGUAUCUCAAAUCCUAUAAAUAGAAAUAUGAAAGGAGAUGUUCUUUGGUUCA
This is a long non-coding RNA of Triticum dicoccoides, 856 nucleotides long. RefSeq lists it as uncharacterized. The record is from RefSeq and is a predicted model, not a curated record. NCBI's taxonomy places the organism in Eukaryota, Viridiplantae, Streptophyta, Magnoliopsida, Poales, Poaceae. The transcript has 2 exons.